GCAGGAGGAAGAUACUGUGACUGUUUGCCUUGGUCUAAUGCAAGCUGUCUGAAUUAUCAGAAAGAACAAUAGAUGCUGCAGUAGAGGUGAAGCAACAACAAACUUGAGAACUGCAGCUGAUGGUGUUGGAGCUUCUCACCCCCAAAACGCAGGAGAGAUUCCCUGCUGCAGAGGAGCGCACCAACGUAGCAGCGUUCACUUCUCUUCCAUCAAACAAUUUCAAGACCAGUUUUCUCUCAGAGCUGUCCUGAUUGGAAAACAUGGAGUGCUUGGAAAUGCUCGUGAAGUAAAGCAGCAAGGA
Molecule: long non-coding RNA, 301 nt
Filed under: Struthio camelus australis
Lineage: Eukaryota; Metazoa; Chordata; Aves; Struthioniformes; Struthionidae
Description: lncRNA (ENSSCUG00000016695.1)
Source: RNAcentral